Molecule: ribosomal RNA, 253 nt
Filed under: uncultured bacterium
Lineage: Bacteria
Description: partial 16S ribosomal RNA
Rfam family: Bacterial small subunit ribosomal RNA
Source: RNAcentral
UACAGAGGGGGCUAGCGUUGUUCGGAAUUACUGGGCGUAAAGGGCGCGUAGGUGGCCUGUUAAGUCGAACGUGAAAUCCCUGGGCUCAACCCAGGAACUGCGUCCGAUACUGGUUGGCUUGAAUCCGGGAGAGGGAUGUGGAAUUCCAGGUGUAGCGGUGAAAUGCGUAGAUACCAGGAGGAACACCGGUGGCGAAGGCGGUUUCCUGGCCGAGUACUGACGCUGAGGCACGAAAGCGUGGGGAGCGAACGGG